CCCUUAGAUGUCCUGGGCCGCACGCGCGCUACACUGACAUGUUCAACAAGCCUCCUAGUUCGACAGGAUUUGGGAAAUCUUUGAACGCAUGUCGUGAUAGGGAUAGAUCAUUGCAAUUAUUGAUCUUGAACGAGGAAUUCCUAGUAAGUGCAAGUCAUCAGCUUGCGCUGAUUACGUCCCUGCCCUUUGUACACACCGCCCGUCGCUACUACCGAUUGAAUGGUUUAGUGAGAUCUCUGGAUUGACGCUGGCUAGGGGGCGACCCUUGGCCAGGCUGUCGAGAAACUGCUCAAACUUGAUCAUUUAGAGGAAGUAAAAGUCGUAACA
Molecule: ribosomal RNA, 327 nt
Filed under: uncultured eukaryote
Lineage: Eukaryota
Description: partial 18S ribosomal RNA
Rfam family: Eukaryotic small subunit ribosomal RNA
Source: RNAcentral